RNAcentral lists this small nucleolar RNA (83 nucleotides) under Mesitornis unicolor (brown roatelo). RNAcentral's name for it is "Small nucleolar RNA SNORD72". It matches the Rfam family "Small nucleolar RNA SNORD72". From Rfam's summary of the family: snoRNA HBII-240 belongs to the CD family of snoRNAs. It is the human orthologue of the mouse MBII-240 and is predicted to guide 2'O-ribose methylation of the large 28S rRNA at residue U4590. The record is from Rfam by way of RNAcentral. Lineage: Eukaryota; Metazoa; Chordata; Aves; Mesitornithiformes; Mesitornithidae.
CAGUUGUUAAUAAGAUGUUUCUUCUUACAAACGUCUGAACUUAGGAACUCCAUGGUGAUUUCAGUGAAUUACUGAGAUAACUC